This 376-nucleotide ribosomal RNA is filed under the name uncultured Campylobacterota bacterium. RNAcentral's name for it is "bacterial SSU rRNA". It matches the Rfam family "Bacterial small subunit ribosomal RNA", at positions 521 to 896 of the family's 1533-position model. The record is from RNAcentral. Lineage: Bacteria; Pseudomonadati; Campylobacterota.
UAAUACGGAGGGUGCAAGCGUUACUCGGAAUCACUGGGCGUAAAGGACGCGUAGGCGGGUUGGAAAGUCAGAUGUGAAAUCCUACAGCUUAACUGUAGAACUGCAUUUGAAACUUCCAACCUAGAGUAUGGGAGGGGGAGAUGGAAUUAGUGGUGUAGGGGUAAAAUCCGUAGAUAUCACUAGGAAUACCGAAAGCGAAGGCGAUCUCCUGGAACAUUACUGACGCUAAGGCGUGAAAGCGUGGGGAGCAAACGGGAUUAGAUACCCCGGUAGUCCACGCCCUAAACGAUGAACACUAGUCGUCGGGAUGCUUGUCAUCUCGGUGAUGCACUUAACAGAUUAAGUGUUCCGCCUGGGGAGUACGGUCGCAAGAUUA